UGGAUGAGUGGAAUGUAUGCAAGGUGGAAUGAGUGAUAGGACUUGGGAGUAACGAAUGAGUGAGUCACGUAACCCUGAAAGUGUAGCUUUUAUCUCUCGUAUUCCAUGGUCGAGUCUGUAAAGACGGGAAAGCGUGGAGUGAGGAACUGGGAGCAUAAAGUGGGGAAAGAAUUGCACUACUAAGGAAGGUUAGUCAGACACGCUGAGGUUAAAAAAAGAUGGUGAAAAAAAGGGUGUUUCGACAGAAGGGGAUGGGACAAACCCGGAGAAUAGCUGGACGCAGAUGAUGCUUUUGAUGGAGAUAUCUGGAGGCUACAGUAUCCCAUAUGCCAGAGUGACUCCUAAAUACCAUACUCGUCUGCAAGGUAUUGAGCCACAAGUGGGCAAAAGACGCUUAUCUCAGGCACGUCAUAGAGCUACUUUGGCAGGACUGUUCAACAACUUACGAGAAACUGUAUUUUCACAACAAGAAAAUUCUGUCUCAAAGUCUCAGAUUUUAUGCCAGGCUAAGAAUUAUAUCCAGGAAUUGGAGCAAACUUUGGAAAAUCUGUUGAAGAUGAAAGAAGUUUUAAAUCUGGAGGACGGCAAUCCAUCCAGUUUGGAAGAUGUAAAGGAGGAAUAUGUCAAGAUGUAUUUCAACAAUCAUAGCAUUGUACCCUCUUCAGAUGUUUUGAGACAAAAUGGCAGCACGGUCUGGUACAUGAUCCGAGAACAUGAGAAACCAAUUGUAGAAGAAGAUGUAAGUCAGAGGCUAACACAGUCAUCAACUACCUCUUCUCCUGAUCUCAUGGAGUUUGAACGAUACUUGUAUUUUUACAAACAAACUGUAGACUUGCUGCUUGAUAAUGCAGUUGUGAGCCCAGAAGAAGUUAUGCUCCCUGUGGUCUCCACAGCUGUUUCCCAUCUGUGGCAGGGACUCCCAGAAGACAGGAAGGACAGUGUUUUGCAGUACUGUAGUCAAAGACAGAAUUUCAUCUCUGAGAUCAAGACAGCUUCUCAAGAACCUGCCUGUACUGACGAGGGCAGUAUGAGGGACAGUGGAAACAACAGUCAGGAAGCCAGCGGUUCAGUAGCAUCCACACCGGAGGAGAUCUUCUUUGAAGAUGCUUUUGAUGUGGCCACUAGUUUCCUUGAUAGAAACGAAACUCAAGAAAUAUCCAGUCAAAGGGGACCUCAGUAUAGAUUAUUUUGUUUGCAGCUCAGCGUUCACAGUCUGUGCUUCAGAUAGUCAAGAGGAUAAACAUCACCUCUACUUGCAGAUCAUUACCUUCUUGAAAAACUUGUUUUUUGCUAGCACACAACCAUCACAGGAAGAAAUUCUUCAGUUAGACUACGAGACUGUGAUGUUGCGAUGCACGGAGACAUUUGAUGAUGAUUUGUAAUGAACAUGUUCGCAUUAAGUGCAGAAAUAUAUAUAUUUCCUCAAUUUCCUUUAAAAAAGAAAAAAGCAUUACCAUGGGAGAUGUUACCAUAAUUUCUGUUACCAUAACAUACAUCAUGUUACAAACAGUUGUUUAUGUUGGCUUUGCAGUUUCUCAGCAGCUACUUUACAUGUAUUGAAGUUUAACAUUCAUAAAAUUCUUUUUUAAAUAUAUGUCUUAAUUCAGUGUU
Molecule: RNA transcript, 1611 nt
Organism: Crotalus tigris (Tiger rattlesnake)
Lineage: Eukaryota; Metazoa; Chordata; Lepidosauria; Squamata; Viperidae
Gene: STRA8
Gene name: stimulated by retinoic acid 8
Exons: 9
Source: RefSeq, a predicted model, not a curated record